This 459-nucleotide ribosomal RNA is filed under the name uncultured bacterium. RNAcentral describes it as "partial 16S ribosomal RNA". It matches the Rfam family "Bacterial small subunit ribosomal RNA", at positions 338 to 795 of the family's 1533-position model. The record is from RNAcentral.
CCUACGGGCGGCAGCAGUGAGGAAUAUUGGUCAAUGGUCGGGAGACUGAACCAGCCAAGCCGCGUGAGGGAUGAAGGUACAGAGUAUCGUAAACCUCUUUUGUCAGGGAACAAAGGCGGGGACGCGUCCCCGGAUGAGUGUACCUGAAGAAACAGCAUCGGCUAACUCCGUGCCAGCAGCCGCGGUAAUACGGAGGAUGCGAGCGUUAUCCGGAUUUAUUGGGUUUAAAGGGUGCGCAGGCGGGCCGUUAAGUCAGCGGUAAAAGCCCGGGGCUCAACCCCGGCCCGCCGUUGAAACUGGCAGUCUCGAGUUGGAGAGAAGUAUGCGGAAGGCGCGGUGUAGCGGUGAAAUGCAUAGAUAUCGCGCAGAACUCCGAUUGCGAAGGCAGCAUGCCGGCUCCACACUGACGCUGAGGCACGAAAGCGUGGGUAUCGAACAGGAUUAGAUACCCGGGUAGUC